GACGAACGCUGGCGGCGUGCUUUACACAUGCAAGUCGAGCGAUGAGAUCCCUUCGGGGAUGGAUUAGCGGCGAACGGGUGAGGAACACGUGAGGAAUCUGCCUUCAACACUGGGAUAACUCCGGGAAACCGGGGCUAAUACCGGAUACGAGAGCUGCAGGCAUCUGCGGCUCUGGAAAGUUUUUCGGUUGAAGAUGACCUCGCGGCCUAUCAGCUUGUUGGUGAGGUAAUGGCUCACCAAGGCGACGACGGGUAGCCGGCCUGAGAGGGCGACCGGCCACACUGGGACUGAGACACGGCCCAGACUCCUACGGGAGGCAGCAGUGGGGAAUAUUGGGCAAUGGAGGAAACUCUGACCCAGCGACGCCGCGUGCGGGAUGAAGGCCUUCGGGUUGUAAACCGCUUUCAGCAGGGAAGAAGCGAAAGUGACGGUACCUGCAGAAGAAGCACCGGCUAACUAUGUGCCAGCAGCCGCGGUAAUACAUAGGGUGCAAGCGUUGUCCGGAAUUAUUGGGCGUAAAGAGCUCGUAGGUGGUUCGUCACGUCGGAUGUGAAAAUCUGGGGCUUAACCCCAGACCUGCAUUCGAUACGGGCGAGCUAGAGUGUGGUAGGGGAGACUGGAAUUCCUGGUGUAGCGGUGGAAUGCGCAGAUAUCAGGAGGAACACCAAUGGCGAAGGCAGGUCUCUGGGCCAUUACUGACACUGAGGAGCGAAAGCGUGGGGAGCGAACAGGAUUAGAUACCCUGGUAGUCCACGCCGUAAACGGUGGGCACUAGUUGUGGGAACCUUCCACGGUUUCUGCGACGCAGCUAACGCAUUAAGUGCCCCGCCUGGGGAGUACGAUCGCAAGAUUA
Molecule: ribosomal RNA, 853 nt
Filed under: uncultured bacterium
Lineage: Bacteria
Description: bacterial SSU rRNA
Rfam family: Bacterial small subunit ribosomal RNA
Source: RNAcentral